GGCGCUGUGGUUAGUUGGUUAGAGUGCCAGUCUAGUAAACAGGAGAUCCCUGGUUCGAAUCCGGGCGGUGCCU
Molecule: transfer RNA, 73 nt
Filed under: Acanthaster planci (crown-of-thorns starfish)
Lineage: Eukaryota; Metazoa; Echinodermata; Asteroidea; Valvatida; Acanthasteridae
Description: tRNA-Thr
Rfam family: tRNA
About the family: Transfer RNA (tRNA) molecules are approximately 80 nucleotides in length. Their secondary structure includes four short double-helical elements and three loops (D, anti-codon, and T loops). Further hydrogen bonds mediate the characteristic L-shaped molecular structure. tRNAs have two regions of fundamental functional importance: the anti-codon, which is responsible for specific mRNA codon recognition, and the 3' end, to which the tRNAs corresponding amino acid is attached (by aminoacyl-tRNA synthetases). tRNAs cope with the degeneracy of the genetic code in two manners: having more than one tRNA (with a specific anti-codon) for a particular amino acid; and 'wobble' base-pairing, i.e. permitting non-standard base-pairing at the 3rd anti-codon position.
Source: Rfam by way of RNAcentral